RNAcentral lists this long non-coding RNA (1372 nucleotides) under Gadus morhua (Atlantic cod). RNAcentral's name for it is "lncRNA (ENSGMOG00000026347.1)". The record is from RNAcentral. Lineage: Eukaryota; Metazoa; Chordata; Actinopteri; Gadiformes; Gadidae.
CAGCGUGCCGCUGUGGAGGAAUUGUCUGGAAACCGCUUUGAUCGCAGAUCGCAAGGCCAUGAUUCAUCAGAGAGUGAGGGGGAGGAGCUGGUCUCACCACCCAAAAGACAGAAAGUUCAGGAUGCGGCCUCCACCCCAAAUCCCCCCACCUCAACACGCACGGCCGACAGCUCUGCCCCUUCCACGGUCCCCCCUCCAACCUCUGUUGCCAGCCAAGCUCGAGAGAGUGACAACGAAGACGGCCAAUCCCAGGGCAGCAGGAGUUCAGUUGUAGGGAGCCUGGCCAAUAGCAGCAGUAGUUUGAGCAGUGGGCGGGACAUAGAUCAGGACAAUCGCUCCUCAUCCCCGAGUCUCUCCGCUUCCCCCCUGGGCAGCCUGGACUCUGAUUCGGACGGCCCAGAAUCACCAAAGCAAGGAGAGAGGGAGAGAGAGAAAGGAAAAGAGGGAGGAGUGGGGAAGUCAGCGGGGGACGAGCGGAGAACAAGCCGAGAGGGAAGAGGGGAGGAUUCCUGCGGAGACGGAGAAAAGAGGGAUGGAGAGGGCAGAGCAGAGGACGGCUCCUCCUUCAAACCCCCGUCCACCCCUUGCUCCUCCUCCCCUCUGACCCCCUCUCUCCGGGGUUCAUCGGACGCCGGCGGCGACGGCGGCGGCGGCGGCGGCGGCGGCGGGAGGAAGAACUACUUCUCCCUGGACUCCAAGCUGGUGUGCAAGGUGGAGUACGGCGGGUCGGGGGCCGGCGACACCCCGCACGGCCCCGGCCGCAUGAGCUCCAAAGGCACCGCGCAGUGCGUGAACAAGGCCGCCGUCUCCGGGGGAGACUAUCCCCACGGCAACCCCAACAUUCCACACGCGCUCCCCCAGCCCCUGCCGCCCCCGCCGGCCCUGAAGCCCCUGGAGCUGGGCGGGGCGCAGAACCUGCCCGUGGAGGUGAAGGUGGAGAGGGAGAAGCUGGAGAAGGCCGACAAGCCGGGCGACAAGGCCCAGACUAAUCCUCCAUCUUUGUUGCCACAGACGGGCCCCCAGCCCCAGUCCCAGCCUCCCCCCCACCCACACCACUACAGCUCCACCAGCUGGCAGGGUGGCACGGCCACCGGUUGCCAGGGGAGCUGGGGCUACGCCCGUUACCCUGGCAACCACCACCCACACCAGCCGCAGCACCAACCCCCAGUGCAGCAGCAGCAACUCCCCUCUGUUUACAACCCCCCGUCCUCUCGCCACUCCUCCUCCCAUCCCUCCUACCUCCCCCACCCUCACGCCCACCCCCACAGGGAGUACCUUCCCAGGUACGCCGGUGGGGGAGGAGACCGGGAGAGGGGGGCCGCAGGAGAGAGGGAGCGGGGAGUGAGGGGCGAUUGCGGGGGCAGAGAGAUCA